RNAcentral lists this unclassified non-coding RNA (258 nucleotides) under Hevea brasiliensis (rubber tree). The record is from RNAcentral. Lineage: Eukaryota; Viridiplantae; Streptophyta; Magnoliopsida; Malpighiales; Euphorbiaceae.
GAAGGCUUCACAAAUUGGCAUCAACGCACCAACAAGCUGUGGAACCAAUCCAUGCAAAGAAAGUAUCUGGAUACAGUCGACAGAUGAUAUACCAACAAUAAGAACAUUCAGAAAUGGAGCAUAGCUAAUCAAAUGGCUAUCACUUCCAGAAUAAUCAGAAGGAACACUAGGUGAUAGCAGCCAAGUGAUAAAUAGAACCGUAUGUUCCUGAAUAUUCCAACCACGAGCAAGAGAAGCCCCACAGAGAAUAGUAGCGGC